CCUACGGGAGGCAGCAGUCGGGAAUCUUGCGCAAUGGGCGAAAGCCUGACGCAGCAACACCGUGUGGGUGACGAAGGCCUUCGGGUCGUAAAGCCCUGUUGUUGGGGACGAAGGGUUAGGGGUUAAUAGCCCCGAGCCUGACGGUACCCUUCGAGGAAGCCCCGGCUAACUACGUGCCAGCAGCCGCGGUAAUACGUAGGGGGCGAGCGUUGUCCGGAAUUAUUGGGCGUAAAGAGCGUGUAGGCGGCCCGGUAAGUCCGCCGUGAAAGCUUAGGGCUCAACCCUAAGUUUGCGGUGGAUACUGUCGGGCUAGAGGGUGGUAGAGGCGAGUGGAAUUCCCGGUGUAGCGGUGAAAUGCGCAGAUAUCGGGAGGAACACCAGUAGCGAAGGCGGCUCGCUGGGCCAUACCUGACGCUGAGACGCGAAAGCGUGGGGAGCGAACAGGAUUAGAUACCCUGGUAGUCCACGCCGUAAACGUUGGGCGCUAGGUGUGGGGGACUUUCCACGUCCUCCGUGCCGCAGCUAACGCAUUAAGCGCCCCGCCUGGGGAGUACGGCCGCAAGGCUAAAACUCAAAGGAAUUGACGGGGGCCCGCACAAGCGGUGGAGCAUGUGGUUCAAUUCGAUGCAACGCGAAAAACCUUACCUGCCCUUGACAUCUAGGGAAUCUCACAGAGAUGUGGGAGUGCCGCAAGGAACCCUAAGACAGGUGCUGCAUGGCUGUCGUCAGCUCGUGUCGUGAGAUGUUGGGUUAAGUCCCGUAACGAGCGCAACCCUCGUCUCUAGUUGCCAUCAUUCAGUUGGGCACUCUAGAGAGACUGCCGGUGACAAACCGGAGGAAGGUGGGGAUGACGUCAAGCCCUCAUGGCCUUUAUGGGCAGGGCUACACACGUGCUACAAUGGCCCGGUACAAAGGGUUGCCAAAGCGCAAGCUGGAGCUAAUCUCAAAAACCGGUCGUAGUCCGGGAUCGGAGUCUGCAACUCCGACCUCCGGUGAAGUCGGAAUC
Molecule: ribosomal RNA, 1006 nt
Filed under: uncultured bacterium
Lineage: Bacteria
Description: bacterial SSU rRNA
Rfam family: Bacterial small subunit ribosomal RNA
Source: RNAcentral